ACACACUAGUUUUCAGCAAAAAAACAUCUUUUGAGUGUUCUUGUCUUUCUCAUGGCUUGUUAAACACUCAAUUUCCACAAAGUAAUGCAAUUCACUUGCCAAAAAUGAGAGCAAUCAAAGAGGUAUAACUUGAGAGCAUUUUAGUGAUUUAAGGUAAAGACAAUGAGGAGAGCCACAAUGGGAAGCCAUGAGGAGUAGUCGCAAAUAACCCCUUGCAAUUCAAUUGUUUUCUCUUCUUGUUGUGAAUUGGUCGUGGAUAACUCUUUAUUAUUAAUUGGUGUUUUUUAUGUUGGAAGACAAGUUUGCAUCUCAUCUUUAUAUUUAAAAUUUAAUAUUACUCGCUUCCCUUCGAUAUGAUCCUCAGAGUACUUAUUUAUUCCAUUGUAACUAUAUUACAACCUGACCCGUAUAUUUGUGAUACCACCUUUCACAUCUUUUGUGUAGGAUUUCUACUCUGGACGUGGGUAUGUCCGGAGGCAAUCAACUACCAAAAAAAUGACCCCCUAUAUAUAUAUAUAUAUCUUGGAGCACGAGAGGCAAUGAGUCCCUUCUUCUUCCCUAAGAAAACCCUAGUGUUCUCCAACCUUCUCCUUCCUCUCCACUAUUUUUCUCUUAGUUCCCUAUUCUAGCUUGCUACUUGUCACAGGUGAAUCGGCCUUCCCGUGGCCACCACCUUUUCCUCCUUGUUUCUUCCUUUUUGAUUUAUUGUGUCAACAACAUAUAAAAUUACACAUUAAAAUAAAAUUCAUGUAUAGUUUUGAAAUUUAUCCCUUGAUUAUAAAGAUCUCUGUUUUAAGAAUUUAAGAUAACAAAUUAAGAUGUAAAAUGAAACUAUGAGCAUAUAUACAUUAAUUUACCUACUACCUUCAAAAUUUAUAAAUACCAGCAAGUAGCAUGGAAAAAUCUCCUAUGACUUAAGAUCGCAUUCAAAAGAUUAUCAUAUUUCUAUGGAAGAUCUACAACAAUAACUUCUCCACAAAGGAUCUCUUAUCAAGAAGGCUUUCAAUCAAUGACUUUUUAUGUCCCCUUUGUAAGGAUAAUAAAGAACCCCUUGACCAUCUCUUUCUUAACUACAACUUCGCUAAAGCGGUCUAGUUUGGAUCUCCCUUUGCAUUCCGCAUUAAAUCCUUAAAUGGUACAUCUAUAUCCAAUUGGAUCCUUCAAUCGCUUCAAUGUAAUAAUCUCUCAUCUGAGUGCUAAAGGAGUUUCUACACGGCAACGUCUUGCACUCUAUAGAUAAUCUAGAAAUCAAAGAACAAUAUCAUAUUUCAAGGAACUAGUCCUUGCCUCAUCGGUGUAAUUAAAAGAAUCUUUGACACGUUUCAGUCAAUCCUUAAUUCCUUCCAGGACAACUUUUACCAAAUCCGACAGUAGAGAAUUCGUUUGGUUCCUUUUUUAGAUACUCCUACCUCACAAUGGUAUCUUUCUUUUAACAUUGUUCAAAAUAGACAAAACAACAUGAUUGGAGGAUCAGCCAUGGCCCAAAAUUCUAACGGUUUCAAACUUAUAUCUAUCUGCAGUUUUAAAUUUUCUAGCAAACUUCUUGCUCGGAUCCUCACUCAUUGUGUUAUUCUCCUGCUUCUUAGGUCGCACAAUAUUAAUUCUUGUAGGCUAUUGAAGGGCAAUAAGAAAUGGAGCAACAUCAUUGCUGGUUGCACCAAAAUUGGAUGGAAACUUCAGCUAAAUUUUAAGGAUAUUAUGUCCCAUCUUCAACACGUCAAUAUUUCUUCGCAACCAGCGAAUAACCAUCAACUGAGAAGUGAAGCGUACCAUUGGACUAAAACUGCUUCUAAAACUUUUUUCAAUUUCUCUUGGCCUUAAUUGUUCUUGAUCUUGUACCCAAAAAAUUUUAUUUGUAAAUAGGGUAAAAAGAAAAAAACUCACUUCAUUGUAUUUUGAUCACCC
RNAcentral lists this long non-coding RNA (1905 nucleotides) under Gossypium barbadense (sea-island cotton). RNAcentral describes it as "long non-coding RNA (GBAR_LNC006056)". The record is from RNAcentral. Lineage: Eukaryota; Viridiplantae; Streptophyta; Magnoliopsida; Malvales; Malvaceae.